Molecule: ribosomal RNA, 1866 nt
Filed under: Triticum aestivum (bread wheat)
Lineage: Eukaryota; Viridiplantae; Streptophyta; Magnoliopsida; Poales; Poaceae
Description: partial small subunit ribosomal RNA
Source: RNAcentral
AUGUCCGGCGGUGGGUGCAGCAUCCGCGCAAUCUGGAUCCUCACGCCAAACGACGCGGUCGCCUUCUCCAGGCGGUUUGCAGUGGUGGAGAAGCGCUGGCGGGUCGCGUGGGAGGCGGAGGGGGUGGGGAAGGGCGCGGAGAUGCCGCUGCCGGCGGACUACGAGGUCGCCGCCGCGUUUGCCAACCGCCGGAGAAGGGAAGGCACGGCCCGUGGUUCUGGUAUCCGCACAAACUUAUCAUCUGUGGGGUUAGAUUCCUGGGUCGAUGAUCCAAUCACUCGCCACAUCAUAUCCCUUCAAAUUGACAAAGAGGAAGGGGGUGGGUUUAUGCUGUGGCCAGUAGUUCUUCAGAAACGUGGAAGUUAUUAUGUCCUUGUGCUGCCUUUGGUGGAUCCUCAGUCAUUUAAAGCAUUCGAGAGCCUAUUGAAAAGACCUGAUUGUGGGAGUUCAGCCAAAGAGAAUGGCAAUCUUUCUUCCAUUUUGCUCAAUCUUCCGUGCAUAACAGGGGCCUUUAUGGUUGCGAAUGUUAUUGGGGACAUAAUUACUGGUGAUGUUGCUGAACCAGAGGUGAUCGUUAGUUCGGGCCCCUCUGUUGGUGGACUGUUAGAUUCAUUGACUGGAAGCAUAGGUAUUACAGCCCGGUCAAAACCUAGCGCUGCACCUGUUGCAGCCCCAGUUGCAUCAGUUUCCUCGCCUGUUGGUGCUGCUCAAUCGGACUCUUUAAAAGGUGGUAUAAGACCUUUUGACAAGGAAUUACUACGAAGCUUCAUCAUCGGUGCUAUGCCUUUUGGCACACCUCAGGAUCUUAAUUAUGGCAAUGUUUCUUCGAUUAGAACAACUGGGUAUUCAGCUGAUCCUCUUCCGACAGACCAGAAGCAACCUGCCUGGAAGCCUUACCUAUACAAAGGGAGGCAACGGACUCUCUUUUCUAGCCUGGAGACUAUAAAUGCUGCACUAUAUGACCGUGAUGAUGUGCCAGAUUUCCUUUCCGUUUCGGGACAACUAACCUGUAGGGCUGAACUGGAAGGGUUACCUGAUGUUUCUUUGCCACUGACUGGGUUAAAAACUGCCCGUGUGGAGGUAUCAUCAUUCCACCACUGUGUUCAAGCUUCAGAGCCUACUGGUAAUAAGCAAUCUCUGCUAUUUCAACCACCACUAGGAAAUUUCGUUUUGAUGCACUAUCAAGCUCCAUGCAACAUCGAUCCACCUGUUAAAGGGUUCUACCAGUUGUCUAUGGUAUCUGAGAAUGAAGGUGCUUUUCUAUUUAAGCUGAGAUUGAUGGAGGGUUACAAGUCCCCGUUUCUUAUGGAAUUUUGCAUGGUCACAAUGCCAUUUCCUCGAAGAAGAGUUGCAUCAUAUGACGGAAAUCCAUCAGUUGGGACGGUUUCAAUGACAGAACAUUUAAUUGAGUGGAGAAUUGUUUCAAGUGGCCGGGGCCUCAGUGGUAGGAGCAUUGAAGCUACCUUCUCUGGUACUGUUAGAUUUCAUCCUAGAACAACGCAGCGAGUAAAUUCAUCAUUUCGGUCGGCCACAACCACCGCAUUUGCUGAAGAUAGUGAUUGUGAGCAAGAUAUCACUAAGAAUGGUGCCAACUUGGAUGACUACCUCAUGGAAAAAAUGAACAAAGACCUUCAAGCAGUUGACUUGGAAGAGCCAUUGUCUUGGCAGGCUUAUAAUUAUGCUAAGGUGUCGUUUAAGAUAGUUGGUGGCACCCUGUCUGGUCUUAUAAUCGACCCAAGAUCUGUAACCAUUUACCCUUCUGUCAAAGCCCCAGUAGAAUAUUCAAUGCAGGCCUCUUCUGGAGACUACAUACUAUGGAAUACCUUAGGAAAAUGUCCUUCUGCAGCUUUGCCAAAAGAAUUAUAA